CCUACGGGAGGCAGCAGUGAGGAAUAUUGGUCAAUGGACGAGAGUCUGAACCAGCCAAGUAGCGUGAAGGAUGACUGCCCUAUGGGUUGUAAACUUCUUUUAUAUGGGAAUAAAAUGUGCCACGUGUGGGAUUUUGUAUGUACCAUAUGAAUAAGGAUCGGCUAACUCCGUGCCAGCAGCCGCGGUAAUACGGAGGAUCCGAGAGUUAUCCGGAUUUAUUGGGUUUAACGGGAGCGUAGGUGGCUUGUUAAGUCCGUUGUGACAGUUUGCGGCUCAACCGUAAAAUUGCAGUUGAAACUGGCAGUCUUGAGUACAUUAGAGGUGGGCGGCUUUCGUGGUGUAGCGGUGCCAUGCUUAGAUCUCACG
Molecule: ribosomal RNA, 366 nt
Filed under: uncultured bacterium
Lineage: Bacteria
Description: partial 16S ribosomal RNA
Rfam family: Bacterial small subunit ribosomal RNA
Source: RNAcentral